RNAcentral lists this ribosomal RNA (519 nucleotides) under uncultured eukaryote. Its description in RNAcentral is "SSU rRNA". It matches the Rfam family "Eukaryotic small subunit ribosomal RNA", at positions 1161 to 1705 of the family's 1831-position model. The record is from RNAcentral.
AGGGCACCACCAGGAGUGGAGCCUGCGGCUUAAUUUGACUCAACACGGGGAAACUCACCCGGCCCGGACACCGUAAGGAUUGACAGAUUGAUAGCUUUUUCAUGAUUCGGUGGAUGGUGGUGCAUGGCCGUCCUUAGUUCGUGGAGCGAUUUGUCUGGUUUAUUCCGAUAACGAGCGAGACUCUAGCCUACUAAAUAGUUCGCACAUCGUCUCUGUGUGUGUGACUUCUUAGAGGGAUUUUCGGUGUUCAGCCGCACGAAAUUGAGCAAUAACAGGUCUGUGAUGCCCUUAGAUGUCCGGGGCUGCACGCGCGCUACACUGGCAAAAUCAGCGUGCUUGUCCUUCCCCGAAAGGGGUUGGUAAACCCUUGAAAAUUUGCCGUGAUUGGGAUUGGAAAUUGCAAUUAUUUUCCAUGAACGAGGAAUUCCAAGUAAGUGCGAGUCAUCAGCUCGCGUUGAUUACGUCCCUGCCCUUUGUACACACCGCCCGUCGCUGCCCGGGACUGAGCCAUUUCGAGAA